GGAAGGGCAGAGGAAAACCGCUGAGGGGAAAAUGCCGGUUAAAAAGACAGACCACCACCCCCUGCUGUCCACCGGAGCUGGGGGAGCUGAGCCUGAGCGAGGUCCUUGUAACCUGUCUGCCACAGGUUUGUUACAGAACUGGACAGUUUGACUCCUGAAGCAGACCAAUGGGACCACACAAGCCUGAGUUUCUGAACUUCGGGUAAAAGGAUGGGUUCAAAGGUGUGGAGUGGAAUCCUUGUUUCCUGAGUAGCCCUGGAAAUUAUCUCAUCGCCCUAUUUAAAAUUUAUUUGUGUUGCUUUUGUGAUCCAUACACAUAUCUCAGUGAUCAACAUAAAUAUUUUGCUGCACAUAUUUGAACUUCCAGCCAGUUUACUGGAAAAAUGUCAUCAGAGCUAAUGUCCCUGUUCCCUGAGGAAUGUAAAUUCUGCAGUUAGGUUUCUAAAGCAAAUCACAAAUGUUCAUUCUAGCCACUUCACAGAACUGUUCUGCAGGAUUUGGGUAGAAUUUACCCUGAAGCAGAAAAGCUUUUCCAUAAAAAGUUCACUGUGCUGUUUGCUGUGAAGACCAAGCAUGAUCAAGAUGGAGAAGUGGGGUUGAUGUUCUGGAAACAGUGAAUGAGAAUUUGCUGAAAAAUUACAGCAAUUUUCCUGAAACCACAGAUACCGUGGAAUCAUGGAGUGGUUUUGGUUGGAAGGGACCUUUAAGGAUCAUCAAGUUCCAACCCCCUACCAUGGGCAGGGACACCUGCUACUGUCCCAGGUUGCUCAGAGCCACAUCCAGCCUGGCCUUGGACACUUCCAGGGAUGGGGCAGUCACAGCUUCUAGGGAAUUGAUUUCCAAAUGCCAACUGCAAUAGGCAUUGAACAAUAAAUAACAGUGACAAUAAUUGCUGUUAAUAUUAGUCCAACUAAUAUAAUUACACAGGAUUUUUUUUUUUAAUUGUUU
Long non-coding RNA from Poecile atricapillus (Black-capped chickadee), 948 nucleotides. RefSeq lists it as uncharacterized. The transcript is spliced from 3 exons. The record is from RefSeq and is a predicted model, not a curated record. NCBI's taxonomy places the organism in Eukaryota, Metazoa, Chordata, Aves, Passeriformes, Paridae.